UCCAUGCGGCGUGCUAUACAUGCAAGUCGAACGAACUCUGGUAUUGAUUGGUGCUUGCAUCAUGAUUUACAUUUGAGUGAGUGGCGAACUGGUGAGUAACACGUGGGAAACCUGCCCAGAAGCGGGGGAUAACACCUGGAAACAGAUGCUAAUACCGCAUAACAACUUGGACCGCAUGGUCCGAGCUUGAAAGAUGGCUUCGGCUAUCACUUUUGGAUGGUCCCGCGGCGUAUUAGCUAGAUGGUGGGGUAACGGCUCACCAUGGCAAUGAUACGUAGCCGACCUGAGAGGGUAAUCGGCCACAUUGGGACUGAGACACGGCCCAAACUCCUACGGGAGGCAGCAGUAGGGAAUCUUCCACAAUGGACGAAAGUCUGAUGGAGCAACGCCGCGUGAGUGAAGAAGGGUUUCGGCUCGUAAAACUCUGUUGUUAAAGAAGAACAUAUCUGAGAGUAACUGUUCAGGUAUUGACGGUAUUUAACCAGAAAGCCACGGCUAACUACGUGCCAGCAGCCGCGGUAAUACGUAGGUGGCAAGCGUUGUCCGGAUUUAUUGGGCGUAAAGCGAGCGCAGGCGGUUUUUUAAGUCUGAUGUGAAAGCCUUCGGCUCAACCGAAGAAGUGCAUCGGAAACUGGGAAACUUGAGUGCAGAAGAGGACAGUGGAACUCCAUGUGUAGCGGUGAAAUGCGUAGAAA
Molecule: ribosomal RNA, 695 nt
Filed under: Lactiplantibacillus plantarum
Lineage: Bacteria; Bacillati; Bacillota; Bacilli; Lactobacillales; Lactobacillaceae
Description: bacterial SSU rRNA
Rfam family: Bacterial small subunit ribosomal RNA
Source: RNAcentral